This 636-nucleotide ribosomal RNA is filed under the name uncultured fungus. Its description in RNAcentral is "eukaryotic LSU rRNA". It matches the Rfam family "Eukaryotic large subunit ribosomal RNA", at positions 24 to 664 of the family's 3401-position model. The record is from RNAcentral. Lineage: Eukaryota; Fungi.
CCCGCUGAACUUAAGCAUAUCAAUAAGCGGAGGAAAAGAAACCAACAGGGAUUGCCCUAGUAGCGGCGAGCGAAGCGGCAACAGCUCAGAUUUGAAAUCUGGCCCCUCCGGGGUCCGAGUUGUAAUCUGCAGGGGAUGCUUUUGGCGCGGUGCCCACCCAAGUUCCCUGGAACGGGACGCCAUAGAGGGUGAGAGCCCCGUACGGUGGGACGCCAAGCCUCUGUAAAGCUCCUCCGAAGAGUCGAGUAGUUUGGGAAUGCUGCUCUAAGCGGGAGGUAUAUUCCUUCUAAAGCUAAAUAUAGGCCAGAGACCGAUAGCGCACAAGUAGCGUAAGCGAAAGCUGAAAAGAACCUUGAAAAGAGGGUUAAAUAGUACGUGAAACCGUUGAGGGGGAACCGCUUGUGAACAGAAACGUGGGCCAGGCGGAUCAUCUGGUGGUCCCCACCGGUGCGCUCCGACCUGUCACCCGGGCCAGCACCGGCUCUCGCGGCGGGAAAAACGCGUCGGGAAUGUGGCUCCCCUUCGGGGGUGUGUUAUAGACCUUCGCGCAAUACCGCCCGCGGGGGCCGAGGUACCCAGCGCCUUCGGGCAAGGAUGCUGGCAUAAUGUUCAUCAGCGACCCGUCUUGAAACACGG